Molecule: ribosomal RNA, 301 nt
Filed under: uncultured bacterium
Lineage: Bacteria
Description: partial 16S ribosomal RNA
Rfam family: Bacterial small subunit ribosomal RNA
Source: RNAcentral
CAGUCGCCACGGUAAUACAGAGGGUGCGAGCGUUAAUCGGAUUUACUGGGCGUAAAGCGUGCGUAGGCGGCUAAUUGAGUCGGAUGUGAAAUCCCCGAGCUUAACUUGGGAAUUGCAUUCGAUACUGGUUAGCUAGAGUGUGGGAGAGGAUGGUAGAAUUCCAGGUGUAGCGGUGAAAUGCGUAGAGAUCUGGAGGAAUACCGAUGGCGAAGGCAGCCAUCUGGCCUAAUACUGACGCUGAGGUACGAAAGCAUGGGGAGCAAACAGGAUUAGAUACCCCUGUAGUCCCUGUCUCUUAUAC